This 71-nucleotide transfer RNA is filed under the name Marmota monax (woodchuck). RNAcentral describes it as "tRNA.Ala". It matches the Rfam family "tRNA". Rfam says of the family: Transfer RNA (tRNA) molecules are approximately 80 nucleotides in length. Lineage: Eukaryota; Metazoa; Chordata; Mammalia; Rodentia; Sciuridae. The record is from RNAcentral.
GGGGUUGUGGCUUAGCGGUAGAGCACUUGCCUAGCAUGUGCAAGGCCUUGGGUUUGAUCCCCAACACCACA